UACGUAGGGUGCGAGCGUUAAUCGGAAUUACUGGGCGUAAAGCGUGCGCAGGCGGUUUUGUAAGCCAGAUGUGAAGUCCCCGGGCUCAACCUGGGAAUGGCAUUUGGGACUGCAAGGCUUGAGUGCGGCAGAGGAGACUGGAAUUCCUGGUGUAGCAGUGAAAUGCGUAGAUAUCUGGAGGAACACCGGUGGCGAAGGCGGCAUCCUGGACCGGUAUUGACGCUGAGGCGCGAAAGCCAGGGGAGCAAACGGG
Molecule: ribosomal RNA, 253 nt
Filed under: uncultured bacterium
Lineage: Bacteria
Description: partial 16S ribosomal RNA
Rfam family: Bacterial small subunit ribosomal RNA
Source: RNAcentral